GUCUAUGGUCAUGCCACCCUGAACAAUCCCAAUCUCUGAUCUUGGAAGCUAAACAGGGUUGGGCCUGGUUAGUACUUGGAUGAGAGACCACCUAGGAAGACCAGGUACUGCAGGAA
RNAcentral lists this ribosomal RNA (116 nucleotides) under Pteropus alecto (black flying fox). The record is from RNAcentral. Lineage: Eukaryota; Metazoa; Chordata; Mammalia; Chiroptera; Pteropodidae.